AGCUAGGCCUGGACUCGCGAAUGCUCUAGAUUAAAGUUUGAUCAUGGCUCAGACUGAACGCUUGCGGCAAGGCCUAACACAUGCAAGUCGAACGGUAACAGGAAGCAGCUUGCUGUUUCGCUGACGAGUGGCGGACGGGUGAGUAAUGUCUGGGAAACUGCCUGAUGGAGGGGGAUAACUACUGGAAACGGUAGCUAAUACCGCAUAACGUCGCAAGACCAAAGAGGGGGACCUUCGGGCCUCUUGCCAUCGGAUGUGCCCAGAUGGGAUUAGCUAGUAGGUGGGGUAACGGCUCACCUAGGCGACGAUCCCUAGCUGGUCUGAGAGGAUGACCAGCCACACUGGAACUGAGACACGGUCCAGACUCCUACGGGAGGCAGCAGUGGGGAAUAUUGCACAAUGGGCGCAAGCCUGAUGCAGCCAUGCCGCGUGUAUGAAGAAGGCCUUCGGGUUGUAAAGUACUUUCAGCGGGGAGGAAGGCGAUAAGGUUAAUAACCUUGUCGAUUGACGUUACCCGCAGAAGAAGCACCGGCUAACUCCGUGCCAGCAGCCGCGGUAAUACGGAGGGUUCAAGCGUUAAUCGGAAUUACUGGGGCGUAAAGCGCACAGGCAGGNGGGCUGUGUCCACAGUCUCCGNAAUUNUGAAAUCCCCGGGGGCUCAAACCUGGGAACUGCNUUCGAAACUGGCACGNUAAAAGUCCUGUAGACGGGGGUGAAUUCAGUUGGUUACGGUGAAUGCGUNAACACUGAGAGAAAACCGGGGGAAAGGGGGCCCCGUAAAG
Molecule: ribosomal RNA, 782 nt
Filed under: uncultured bacterium
Lineage: Bacteria
Description: bacterial SSU rRNA
Rfam family: Bacterial small subunit ribosomal RNA
Source: RNAcentral